CCUACGGGGGGCAGCAGUGGGGGAUAUUGCACAAUGGGGGAAACCCUGAUGCAGCGACGCCGCGUGGGUGAAGAAGCGCCUCGGCGCGUAAAGCCCUGUCAGCAGGGAAGAAAAUGACGGUACCUGAAGAAGAAGCCCCGGCUAACUACGUGCCAGCAGCCGCGGUAAUACGUAGGGGGCAAGCGUUAUCCGGAUUUACUGGGUGUAAAGGGGGCGCAGACGGCGAUGCAAGCCAGGAGUGAAAGCCCGGGGCCCAACCCCGGGACUGCUCUUGGAAAUGCGUGGCGAGAGUGCAGGAGGGGCAGGCGGAAUUCCUGGUGUAGCGGUGAAAUGCGUAGAUAGCAGGAGGAACACCGGUGGCGAAGGCGGCCUGCUGGACUGCAACUGACGUUGAGGCCCGAAAGCGUGGGGAGCAAACAGGAUUAGAUACCCUUGUAGUC
This 440-nucleotide ribosomal RNA is filed under the name uncultured bacterium. Its description in RNAcentral is "partial 16S ribosomal RNA". It matches the Rfam family "Bacterial small subunit ribosomal RNA", at positions 338 to 795 of the family's 1533-position model. The record is from RNAcentral.